UGGGGAAUAUUGGACAAUGGGCGCAAGCCUGAUCCAGCCAUGCCGCGCGAGUGAUGAAGGCCUUAGGGUUGUAAAGCUCUUUCAGUAGGGAAGAUAAUGACGGUACCUACAGAAGAAGCCCCGGCUAACUUCGUGCCAGCAGCCGCGGUAAUACGAAGGGGGCUAGCGUUGUUCGGAUUUACUGGGCGUAAAGCGCACGUAGGCGGGUCGUUAAGUCAGGGGUGAAAUCCUGGAGCUCAACUCCAGAACUGCCUUUGAUACUGGCGACCUAGAGUCCGGAAGAGGUGAGUGGAACUCCUAGUGUAGAGGUGGAAUUCGUAGAUAUUAGGAAGAACACCAGUGGCGAAGGCGGCUCACUGGUCCGGUACUGACGCUGAGGUGCGAAAGCGUGGGGAGCAAACAGG
This 404-nucleotide ribosomal RNA is filed under the name Acidobacteriota bacterium. Its description in RNAcentral is "Acidobacteria bacterium partial 16S ribosomal RNA". It matches the Rfam family "Bacterial small subunit ribosomal RNA", at positions 355 to 776 of the family's 1533-position model. The record is from RNAcentral. Lineage: Bacteria; Pseudomonadati; Acidobacteriota.